GGAAUCUCUCGGGUAUUAGCCAUGUACUGAGCAUAGAAAGGUCUUUCUGAAAAGUACUCUACCUGCCCUGUGAUAGUUGCAAGGAGGUGAAGGAAGAGGAUUAAGUACGGGAGAAAACGGAAAGAAGAAAAAAGGAACUUUUUCUCAGUUAAUUAAUUCGAGGCUAGGUGGCGCAAGCUACCGCCCGUUAUAAAGGGAACAGCCGGAACAGCCAAUAUUCAUCCAUCCGCGUUCCCGCCACUGCAACUGUGGCCCCUGCCACCGCUGGUAUCGCCGGUUCGAUUUCUUCGAGCGAACUUCUGGGACAGUUUGAAUAGCUUGAGCUAGUUUGAACUUUGAGUUACUUUGAUUUCCAGUUAAGCUACGUCCAGCCGCGUCCACAACGGUGACUGCUGACUGAUAAAGAGGACAACCGAACAGCUUCUGGACGGCGGGACUCGAGAACCGCAAAGAAGUCCUAAGCAUCGUGUCCAAAGCAGGAAGUGCUGGUGCGAAUCUCAGCUCUAGAAAGACGACAUUCUGUGUUUACUUUUAUUUUAUCCUUUAAAAACAAUUUAUUCAUGAGUAUUUGCCACCUGCUCAGUAUGGCAAUAAUGUUUUUUUUUCUUUCAUCUAGUCAUCGGUUGUGGACAUUUCUUUUAAAGCCUUUUCCUAAUCAUGUGUUCCAGACAGGUUUUUAAGCUUUUUAUAGCUCUAUUUUUACUUUUGCAACUUGAACAUUUAUAGCUGCUCGGUAUGAGAAUGCGGAGAGCUCAAACUCCUCUGAAACGCCCUCGCGGUUGGAGUAGGAUGUGAACGUUUGAGAACAUUUAAUAAAAUUAUAAUAAAGAGAAACAAUUUUGGUAUGAAGCGGGUCCACUGUAAAACCGUAAGAUGACAUUUUAGUUCUUGUAGCAUUCAUUUUAAUGAGAAAGUUUGUGAGCAGGAAAAAUAAUCAUGCUUUCUUUCAUGAUGGCAAGCUUUUUCUACCAAAAUUAGUGCUAGCAUUCUCGGUGCUAUUUUUUAUGUACCGCAAAUUAGGCUUAAGAUGGACGUCAGCUCAUAGAGAAAUUUAGUUUUUUUUUUAUUAUUAUUAUCUUUUGAUCCAUGUAAUGUCGUGUUUUCAAACUUUUGCACCCUACUCCAAUCGCCAGGGCUACAUUCUACCAGAGUUUCAGGUCGUUGUAAUGUCUAGUUUAUUUUUGCGGUAGAGAAACACUGUUGAGUUUUCUCGCUCCUUUCUUUAAUUAUGUGAGCUUCAUGAACCCAAUUUACAGGCCUUCAAGCUUCUUCGAAAGUGUGAAUUUUUUUCAUAAUUGUUCUCUUUAAUUUUUUUUUUAGAGGGAAAAUAAUUUUAACUGCAUAGGUCUAGCAAUAUUGUCGCUGCUCAUGUACACUUCAAUGUUCCAAAUUUGGAGAGUCAAUAAAUGUACUCAUAAACAU
Ixodes scapularis (black-legged tick) is the source of this 1422-nucleotide long non-coding RNA. RefSeq lists it as uncharacterized. The transcript has 3 exons. NCBI's taxonomy places the organism in Eukaryota, Metazoa, Arthropoda, Arachnida, Ixodida, Ixodidae. The record is from RefSeq and is a predicted model, not a curated record.